UGGGGAAUAUUGCACAAUGGGCGCAAGCCUGAUGCAGCCAUGCCGCGUGUAUGAAGAAGGCCUUCGGGUUGUAAAGUACUUUCAGCGGGGAGGCAGGCGAUAAGGUUAAUAACCUUGUCGAUUGACGUUACCCGCAGAAGAAGCACAGGCUAACUCCGUGCCAGCAGCCGCGGUAAUACGGAGGGUGCAAGCGUUAAUCGGAAUUACUGGGCGUAAAGCGCACGCAGGCGGUCUGUCAAGUCGGAUGUGAAAUCCCCGGGCUCAACCUGGGAACUGCAUUCGAAACUGGCAGGCUAGAGUCUUGUAGAUGGGGGUAGAAUUCCAGGUGUAGCGGUGAAAUGCGUAGAGAUCUGGAGGAAUACCGGUGGCGAAGGCGGCCCCCUGGACAAAGACUGACGCUCAGGUGCGAAAGCGUGGGGAGCAAACA
RNAcentral lists this ribosomal RNA (427 nucleotides) under uncultured bacterium. RNAcentral describes it as "partial 16S ribosomal RNA". It matches the Rfam family "Bacterial small subunit ribosomal RNA", at positions 355 to 774 of the family's 1533-position model. The record is from RNAcentral.